GGAGAAUCGCUUGAACCCGGGAGGUGGAGCGAUUCUCCUGCCUCAGCCUCCCGAGUAGCUGGGAUUACAGGCACCCACCACCAUGACCGGCUAAUUUUUGUAUUUUUGGUAGAGGCGGGGUUUCACCCUGUUGGCCAGGCUGGUCUCAAACUCCUGACCUCAGGUGAUCCGCCUGCCUCGGCCUCCCAAAGUGCUGGGAUUACAAGCGUGAGCCACCACGCCAGAAAGGGCAAUUUUCAAAAGAAAAAACACAGUGCACAAACAUUUGAAAAAAGGUUCACCUUUGUUAGUAAUGAUCACAAUGUAAGUUAAGGAAGGGUAUCAUCUACCUCCUCCAGAACUGCCCACUCCUGGUAAGACUACAAAUCAGUUCAACUAUUUCGAAAAGCAAAUUGGCAAUAUGUAUCAAAGGCAGGCAUAUUUGUGGUUUCCACCUCUUAUUUAUCCCAGUAAUUUUACUUCUGGUGAAUAAUCCCAAAGAAAUAAUUUUAAAUUCAGGAGAAGGCUUUUUGUACUAAGCUGUCCGCUCAUAAUAGGAAAAAAUGGAAAGCAAUCUACAUGUCCAACAAUAGAGAGAUGCUUAAAUAAAUUAUGGUGCUUCUGUUGGUGAAGUAUUAUAAAAAUCUAUAAAAUGC
Molecule: long non-coding RNA, 635 nt
Filed under: Homo sapiens (human)
Lineage: Eukaryota; Metazoa; Chordata; Mammalia; Primates; Hominidae
Description: HSALNT0383867
Source: RNAcentral